This 2125-nucleotide ribosomal RNA is filed under the name marine metagenome. RNAcentral describes it as "bacterial LSU rRNA". It matches the Rfam family "Bacterial large subunit ribosomal RNA", at positions 1170 to 2796 of the family's 2925-position model. The record is from RNAcentral.
CAAAGGUGGAUCCAAAGGGUGAUCCCGCAGAGGGGCGGCCCUGGCGCAAGCCGGGGUAGCCCGUGUAGGCGGGAGAACCCUGCGGUGAAGCCGGCGGGAAACGGGCCGGAUCCUUUGGCCAACGCCUGGGCGUGGUAGGGGAGCGUUCCUCGGGCGGAGAAGCCACGACGUGAGUCGGGGUGGAGCGCGGGGAAGUGAGAAUCCCGGAAUGAGUAGCGUAAACUAGGGUGAAAAUCCCUGGCGCCGAAAGCCCAAGGUUUCCUACGCAACGUUUAUCGGCGUAGGGUUAGUCGGUCCUAAGCCGUAGGCAAGCGCCGAAGGCGAUGGACAGCAGGUUAAUAUUCCUGCACCGCCGUUGUUUCGCUUUAAAACCAAGGAGGGGUGCGGAAGGGUAGGUAGAGCAUGCCUAUUGGACAUGGUGUGUCCUCAACUGUAGGCGAGUCGGGGCAGGUAAAUCCACUCCGGCGUUAAGCAGAGGGUUGAGGGAAUCGAGCCUUCGGGCUACGAAACUCUGUUGAACCCAAACCGACUAGAAAAGCUUCGUGGUUAUGGAGCAAUGGCGACCGUACCGGAAACCGCCACUGGUGGGCAAGGAUAAAAGUCCUAAGGCGUUCGAGCUAACCUCCGCUAAGGAACUAGACAAAAGAGCCCUGUAACUUUGGGAGAAAGGGCCCCCCGGGGGGUGAAGCCACUAGCUGGUGGAGCGUUCUGGGGGCGCAGAGAAGAAGGCCGGGCGACUGUUUAACAAAAACACAGGUCUGUGCUAAGGGGAAACCCUACGUAUACAGGCUGACGCCUGCCCAGUGCCGGAAGGUUAAGGGGAGGAGUGCAAGCUUCGAACUGAAGCCCCGGUGAACGGCGGCCGUAACUCUAACGGUCAACCGAGCGGUCCAAACCAGGCCCCGGGCGCAAGCCCUGGGCCCGGCGGCUGCUUAAGGCCGUUGUAAAAUCUGGCUAUAUGCUGGGAAGCCCGAGUAUCCGGCGCUACCCGUUGAUCGAAUCUGGGUCAAUUGGUGACAAUGCGUCCGGUGCGGACAAUCAGCAGGAAAGACCAUGGAGGAAAUCCCCGCGCCACGUUCCGGACUCUGUCAAGGAAUGGUCCAUGGACGGGGUGGAACUUCACGGAAUCCUCAGAGACCAUACGCCAGACCCGCUGUCGGAACGUGCGGGAAGAUAUGGUCCGAUCUGUGUGGCGACAUGCAGAGGGCGGCAGAAAUGACCGUCCCCUCCGGUACUCAGCCAAACAGGCAACUGUCUGACCGGGAAUCGGGGAGUAACAAAUUGCCUAAGGUAGCGAAGUCCCUUGUCGGGUAAGUUCCGACCCGCAUGAAUGGUUGAACGACUUGGCCAUUGUCUCGGCGGAGGGCUCGGUGAAAUUGCGGUGCCCGUGAAGACGCGGGCGACCCGCGGCAGGACAAAAAGACCCUGUGGAGCUUUACUGUAGCCUGGUAUUGGGCUGGGAGCCGUCAUGUGUAGGAUAGGUGGGAGGCUAUGAUUCCCCGACGCCAGUCGGGGCGGAGCCGCCGUUGAAAUACCACCCUUGGCUGUUUUUGGUCCUAACCUCAGCGCAACUGAGGGACAGUGCCUGGUGGGCAGUUUAACUGGGGCGGUUGCCUCCUAAAAUGUAACGGAGGCGUCCAAAGGUUCCCUCAGGACGGAUGGAAAUCGUCCAUAGAACGCAUUGGCAUAAGGGAGCUUGACUGCGAGACCUACAAGUCGAGCAGGGACGAAAGUCGGGCAAAGUGAUCCUACGGCACCGUGUGGAAGGGCCGUGGCUUAUCGGAUAAAAGCUACCCCGGGGAUAACAGGCUAAUCUCGCCCAAGAGUUCACAUCGACGGCGAGGUUUGGCACCUCGAUGUCGGCUCGCCGCAUCCUGGGGCUGAAGAAUGUCCCAAGGGUCCGUCUGUUCGCCGGUGAAAGCGGCACGCGAGCUGGGUUCAGAACGUCGUGAGACAGUUCGGUCUCUAUCCGCCGCGGGCGUUGGAGGUUUGCGGGGCGCUCUCCCUAGUACGAGAGGACCGGGAUGGACGUACCUCUGGUGUACCAGUUAUUCUGCCAAGGGUAAAUGCUGGGUAGCUAUGUACGGAAGGGAUAACCGCUGAAGGCAUCUAAGUGGGAAACCCC